Molecule: long non-coding RNA, 1580 nt
Organism: Passer domesticus (house sparrow)
Lineage: Eukaryota; Metazoa; Chordata; Aves; Passeriformes; Passeridae
Exons: 3
Source: RefSeq, a predicted model, not a curated record
UUCUCCCUUUGCAGCUCCUGUUGUGGUAACAGGAUGGAUUAUUGCUGUGCGUGCUGUGUGACACGCUGAGUCCUGCUCAAGGAAGCUGCCAGGCACCAUCACAAUGCCACAAACUCAAUCAAGGCAGGACUUUGAGUCGAUCAGCCACGAAAACUGAGCUCUAAGGUGUGGCUGUGUGUACUAAAGGAAACAGGUAUUUUGGAAACAAAACCAAUACAGGUGAUAGAACAUACUACAACACUGCAUGACACUGAGGACACACUUACAGAAGACUGUGACCAGCCAUUGAUGAAGGAUGGGCAUCAUACCCAACUGGCCAGCAAUGCUGUGCUACCCAAACAGUUUUCCAAAGUGACUCUCAUUGGCAUUCAGAAUCACCAUGGGACUAGGGAAUGCUGGAAGAUGCAGACAAAAAAAGAGAGAUUCUGCGAGAGAAACAACCAGGCUUUGAGAAUAACCCACUUUUUGAACCCAGACAAAGGUUUUUUUGAAACUUGCACAGAGACCUCAUUCAGCCACCAGUUUUUCUAAGAGUUGGAAUAAACUUACUCCUACCCCUCAGAACCGGCAGCCUUCAGAAAGGACGGAAGCACACACAAAGGCAGCCCGUAUGCCACACCACAAACAUUACCCUGGGCUAAGAAAGAGGUCAAGUCCAUGGAGAUUUGCCACUGGAGGCCAAUUUUAACUCCAUUCCUGACUGCAUUUUGGAGCUGCUCUCCCACAUCACCUGUCAGCACAGCCACUUUCCUGCUGGGACGUGCAAGGGAAGGUGGCACCUUUGUUCCACCAGCUGCUGCAGCAGGGACACGUUUCCCCGAGUUCUCCUGCUCUACCCCAGAGUUCCUGUGAACAUUCAGCCCAGGGUGCUCCUCUGCAGACCCUUGUAAGCCCUCAGGAGGAAGAGGAUCCAAAUUCCAUCACUCCCAGGGUAUUUUACCUCCUUUCUCAUGGGGAUCAGCAAGAUGCCAUUUAUGUGGCGUCAUGUGCUUCAGACCUUGUAAGAGAUGAGCCUGCUGUUUGCAAGGGUUGGUGCUUAAAGAGUGGAGGAACCAGUCACAGGACUCAAAAAUACUCACUCCUCUUCAUUUUCAGGGCUAAGGUACAGAGGAGCCCUUUCCCCAGCAUCCAGCUCCUCUCCAAACUCAUCCCCAAGAGCAGGCCUGGAGCUCACCUGGUCCUUCUCAGGCUUGUCCGAGAUGUCGUUGAGGCUGGUGGAAGUCAGGUUUCGGUGAGCCAUGGCCGGGCUGCCUGCAGGAACAACGUCAACACCAGUUAAAGCACCUGCUUGGAUCCACUCAGAACGCAGAGGCUCAGGCUACAGCAACACCUUUCCCUGGGAGGCUGAUGUGGGGGAUUCCAGACCCUGACAAGCUGCUUUCUGUCACUUCAUGUGGCACUAAUGCUUCGUCACCACUGACCCACAGCAAUCCAUUGACUCCCAGGACAGUAAAAGAGUCCAAGGACAUUCCAUAAUGCCUGCCUGUGGGAGCAAAGCAACGCAGCACCACACUGCUGGCCAGCUCACCCAGGACCCACCACAAACUCAUCUCUCCACAGAGUUGGGACCUUCCAGGAUG